This 36-nucleotide transfer RNA is filed under the name Tragelaphus spekii (Sitatunga). Its description in RNAcentral is "partial tRNA-Ser". The record is from RNAcentral. Lineage: Eukaryota; Metazoa; Chordata; Mammalia; Artiodactyla; Bovidae.
AACCAAUAGUGGGGGGUUCGAUUCCUUCCUUUCUUA